AGAUUGAACGCUGGCGGCAUGCCUUACACAUGCAAGUCGAACGGUAGAGUAGCAAUACUCGAGAGUGGCGAACGGGUGAGUAAUAUAUCGGAACGUGCCCAGUCGUGGGGGAUAACGUAGAGAAAUUUACGCUAAUACCGCAUACGAUCUAAGGAUGAAAGCGGGGGACUCGCAAGAGCCUCGCGCGAUUGGAGCGGCUGAUAUCAGAUUAGGUUGUUGGUGAGGUAAAAGCUCACCAAGCCGACGAUCUGUAGCUGGUUUGAGAGAACGACCAGCCACACUGGGACUGAGACACGGCCCAGACUCCUACGGGAGGCAGCAGUGGGGAAUUUUGGACAAUGGGCGAAAGCCUGAUCCAGCAAUGCCGCGUGCAGGAAGAAGGCCUUCGGUUGUAAACGUGCUUUUUGUACGGAACGAAAAGGUCUGCCCUAAUACGGCGGCCCAGUGACGGUACCGUAAGAAUAAGCACCGGCUAACGUACGUGCCAGCAGCCGCGGUAAUC
This 502-nucleotide ribosomal RNA is filed under the name uncultured soil bacterium. RNAcentral describes it as "bacterial SSU rRNA". It matches the Rfam family "Bacterial small subunit ribosomal RNA", at positions 26 to 525 of the family's 1533-position model. The record is from RNAcentral.